This is a long non-coding RNA of Trachemys scripta elegans, 246 nucleotides long. RefSeq lists it as uncharacterized. The record is from RefSeq and is a predicted model, not a curated record. Lineage: Eukaryota; Metazoa; Chordata; Testudines; Emydidae. The transcript has 4 exons.
CAGGUCAGCCGAGAUCUCCGGGGUAAAUAUAGGUGGUGUCGCGGCAGAGACACAGCCCGUGUAUGUCAACAUACCCUUCAGGGCCGGCACAGCUCUGCAGCAACGGAGCCAUGAUGGGCAGGUCCAGCCAGUGACCCACACCCAGCCGGCGUGGCCGAACAACCCUGGAGGGAAGCCUGUAAUUGCUCGAAAUCCCCAGAAAAGGGGCAAGAGAGAAGAGGAUGCAGAUGCCAGGGUAGAGCGCAA